RNAcentral lists this ribosomal RNA (431 nucleotides) under uncultured bacterium. RNAcentral's name for it is "partial 16S ribosomal RNA". It matches the Rfam family "Bacterial small subunit ribosomal RNA", at positions 29 to 507 of the family's 1533-position model. The record is from RNAcentral.
AACGAACGCUGGCGGCAGGCUUAACACAUGCAAGUCGAACGCCCCGCAAGGGGAGUGGCAGACGGGUGAGUAACGCGUGGGAACAUACCCUUUUCUACGGAAUAGCUCUGGGAAACUGGAAUUAAUACCGUAUACGCCCUACGGGGGAAAGAUUUAUCGAGGAAGGAUUGGCCCGCGUUGGAUUAGCUAGUUGGUGGGGUAAAGGCCUACCAAGGCGACGAUCCAUAGCUGGUCUGAGAGGAUGAUCAGCCACAUUGGGACUGAGACACGGCCCGAAUUCUUACGGGAGGCAGCAGUGGGGAAUAUUGGACAAUGGGCGCAAGCCUGAUCCAGCCAUGCCGCGUGAGUGAUGAAGGCCGUAGGGUUGUAAAGCGCUUUCACCGAUGAAGAUAAUGACGGUAGUCGGAGAAGAAGCCCCGGCUAACUUCGUG